AUAAAUCAAAUAAAUCAAAACUUUCAACAACGGAUCUCUUGGUUCUGGCAUCGAUGAAGAACGCAGCAAAAUGCGAUAAGUAAUGUGAAUUGCAGAAUUCAGUGAAUCAUCGAAUCUUUGAACGCACAUUGCGCCCGCCAGUAUUCUGGCGGGCAUGCCUGUUCGA
RNAcentral lists this ribosomal RNA (166 nucleotides) under Fusarium oxysporum f. sp. ciceris. Its description in RNAcentral is "5.8S ribosomal RNA". The stretch from base 19 to 166 matches the Rfam family "5.8S ribosomal RNA". From Rfam's summary of the family: 5.8S ribosomal RNA (5.8S rRNA) is a component of the large subunit of the eukaryotic ribosome. Lineage: Eukaryota; Fungi; Ascomycota; Sordariomycetes; Hypocreales; Nectriaceae. The record is from RNAcentral.